CUGAUGUGUACAGAUAAGCUUCUGCAAGCACAUUCGCAAGUGGGGUCAUUUUUGUAAGGGUACUGCCUAUAGUAGAUCUACUGUGGUACUGCCUAUAGUAGAUCUACUGUGUGCCGGGUGUUGACUCCCAGGAGCAACCAAUGAUAACAGCUGCAGCGACAAUAGUAUCCGCAACUUCAUCGCGUCAGAAGUUGAACUGAUGAUGCCGUUUGACUUGCCGAUACGCGGAUGGUGUUUUCAGUUCAACUUGUGGCCGGGUGCACGCGGCCUCUACCGGCGUAACUAACAGACCGAACUGUACUUGAAUGGCUUGACCGUGCACGUGGAGUCGUAAGACUUCGGACCCGAUGACGCAAUCGAAAGGGAAGAUCCAGGACGAAUUACAUCCUCCAUCGAUGUUCCGCCUGUCAUAAUAUUGGAGGAUUCUCCUGGUUAUAAAUGUAAGUUUCGUGGGUUAGAGAGGAGUGGAAGCGGACAGCCUUAAGUUGAAGAUUUAGAUUUAAAAGAACUUAUCAAUUAAUACAAAUAAGAAUGGGAAACAUUGCGGAAAACUUUUGCAAGAACUUACCACAUUUAAUACCAAUAUUCUAUUGGUGCAGGAAACGGAAUAGCUCACAGGUGAAGUAAAUGACAUACAUAUGGUUGUAAUGCAUAGCUCUAACUACCAGCAAGUUAACAGGAAACAGGAGUGGAGUGGUACACUUAUUUGCAUAAACUUGCUUACACCGCCUGCUUUCGCCAAACAAAAGAUUUUCUUUUCCAGAUUCUUUGCUGAAAGAGGAAUCCUCGUACCUGAAAAUACCUGAAACUGGAGAGUUGAAGAUGAAAUUAAAGUCCGCCUCUUCCUCUUCCUACAGAUAAACUUCACCCUUUUCGA
Hermetia illucens (black soldier fly) is the source of this 877-nucleotide long non-coding RNA. RefSeq lists it as uncharacterized. Lineage: Eukaryota; Metazoa; Arthropoda; Insecta; Diptera; Stratiomyidae. The record is from RefSeq and is a predicted model, not a curated record. The transcript is spliced from 3 exons.